AGAGAUCACUGUGCUUCAUUCAAAUGGGAUCUAUACAAACCAUAAACUGGUUUGCAGGAACCUUCCAAGAAUAUUUCUGCACCGAAACCCCUGCAAUAACUGCACCUUACAUCGUUUCAAGUCAGCUGAGCUAUAUCAAUCCAAGCUCAUAACAGCAAUAAAAGCCACAAUAAGUGGUGUUUGCUGAGAAUUCAUUAAUGGUUGUGUCCCUUCAGUAAAAUACAAAGCAGCUUCAUUUCACUGUGACCAUCAG
This is a long non-coding RNA of Vidua macroura (Pin-tailed whydah), 253 nucleotides long. RefSeq lists it as uncharacterized. The transcript is spliced from 3 exons. Lineage: Eukaryota; Metazoa; Chordata; Aves; Passeriformes; Viduidae. The record is from RefSeq and is a predicted model, not a curated record.